RNAcentral lists this ribosomal RNA (492 nucleotides) under uncultured bacterium. RNAcentral describes it as "partial 16S ribosomal RNA". It matches the Rfam family "Bacterial small subunit ribosomal RNA", at positions 28 to 507 of the family's 1533-position model. The record is from RNAcentral.
GAUGAACGCUAGCUACAGGCUUAACACAUGCAAGUCGAGGGGAAACGGCAUUAAGUGCUUGCACUUUCUGUACGUCGACCGGCGCACGGGUGAGUAACGCGUAUCCAACCUUCCCAUGACUAAGGGAUAACCUGCCGAAAGGCAGACUAAUACCUUAUGUUCUUCACUGACGGCAUCAGAUGUGAAGUAAAGAUUUAUCGGUUAUGGAUGGGGAUGCGUCUGAUUAGCUUGUUGGCGGGGUAACGGCCCACCAAGGCAACGAUCAGUAGGGGUUCUGAGAGGAAGGUCCCCCACAUUGGAACUGAGGCACAGUCCAAACUCCUACGGGAGGGAGCAGUGAGGAAUAUUGGUCAAUGGGCGAGAGCCUGAACCAGCCAAGUAGCGUGCAGGAUGACGGCCAUAUGAGUUGUAAACUGCUUUUGUAUGAGGAUAAAGUCAAUAACGUGUGAUUGUUUGCAGGUACCAUACGAAUAAGGCCCGGCUAAUUCCGUG